This 274-nucleotide ribosomal RNA is filed under the name uncultured bacterium. RNAcentral's name for it is "partial 16S ribosomal RNA". It matches the Rfam family "Bacterial small subunit ribosomal RNA", at positions 523 to 796 of the family's 1533-position model. The record is from RNAcentral.
AUACGGAGGGUGCAAGCGUUGUUCGGAAUCACUGGGCGUAAAGGGCGCGCAGGCGGUUUGGUAAGUCAGAUGUGAAAGCCCACGGCUCAACCGUGGAAGUGCAUUUGAAACUGUCAGACUUGAGUACUAGAGGGGAAAGUGGAAUUCCCGGUGUAGAGGUGAAAUUCGUAGAUAUCGGGAGGAAUACCGGUGGCGAAGGCGACUUUCUGGCUAGAUACUGACGCUGAGGCGCGAAAGCGUGGGGAGCGAACAGGAUUAGAAACCCUAGUAGUCC